RNAcentral lists this ribosomal RNA (482 nucleotides) under uncultured bacterium. RNAcentral describes it as "partial 16S ribosomal RNA". It matches the Rfam family "Bacterial small subunit ribosomal RNA", at positions 30 to 523 of the family's 1533-position model. The record is from RNAcentral.
AGUGAACGUUGGCGGCGUGGAUUAGGCAUGCGAGUCGAGCGAGAACCGUAGCAAUACGGGGACAGCGGCGAAAGGGGCAGUAAUAUGUAGGUACCUACCCUCGGGUCCGGGAUAGCUGCGGGAAACUGCAGGUAAUACCGGAUGACAUCUCCGGAUCAAAGGUGUGAUUCCGCCCGGGGAGGGGCCUGCAUCCUAUUAGCUAGUUGGCGGGGUAACGGCCCACCAAGGCGACGAUGGGUAGCGGGGGUGAGAGCACGACCCGCGUCAUUGGGAAUGAGACACUGCCCAGACACCUACGGGGGGCUGCAGUCGAGAAUCUUCGGCAAUGGGGGAAACCCUGACCGAGCGACGCCGCGUGCGGGAUGAAGGCCUUCGGGUUGUAAACCGCUGUCGUAGAGGAGGAAAUGCAGGGGGGUUCUCCCCUCUGUUUGACCUAUUCUAGGAGGAAGGACGGGCUAAGUUCGUGCCAGCAGCCGCGGUAA